This is a long non-coding RNA of Gordionus sp. m RMFG-2023, 304 nucleotides long. RefSeq lists it as uncharacterized. The record is from RefSeq and is a predicted model, not a curated record. The transcript is spliced from 3 exons. NCBI's taxonomy places the organism in Eukaryota, Metazoa, Nematomorpha, Gordioida, Chordodea, Parachordodidae.
CAUAAAUAUAAGCUCCAUCUAUUUUAGGUAUAUAAUUUUCAAAAAUAUGGUGUACGUUCUGACAUGGGAUCAGUUUGAAAAAAAAGUGGAGGAAAUCUUCAAUAAGAAUCCUAGCAAAACAAGGUUUACAAUAAAGUACAUUCAUAAGCUUGGUAAAGUUUGGUUUAAAGUUACAGAUGAUCUUGAAUGUUGGCAAUAUAAGACACGUUACCUACAAGAUUUUAAAAAAUAUGAAAAAUUAAACAAUAAUUUGCUCAGAUUAAUGUCAAAAGAUACAAAAUAAAUCCUCGUUUUUAUAUAGAUG